Molecule: ribosomal RNA, 387 nt
Filed under: uncultured bacterium
Lineage: Bacteria
Description: bacterial SSU rRNA
Rfam family: Bacterial small subunit ribosomal RNA
Source: RNAcentral
GACGAACGCUGGCGGCGUGCUUAACACAUGCAAGUCGAGCGGUAAGGCCCUUUCGGGGGUACGACGAGCGGCGAACGGGUGAGUAACACGUGGGUGACCUGCCCUUAGCUCUGGGAUAAGCCUGGGAAACUGGGUCUAAUACCGGAUAUGACUCCAUGACGCAUGUUGUGGGGUGGAAAGCCUUGUGCGGCUAGGGAUGGGCCUGCGGCCUAUCAGCUUGUUGGUGGGGUGANGGCCUACCAAGGCGACGACGGGUAGCCGGCCUGAGAGGGCGACCGGCCACACUGGGACUGAGACACGGCCCAGACUCCUACGGGAGGCAGCAGUGGGGAAUCUUGCGCAAUGGGCGAAAGCCUGACGCAGCGACGCCGCGUGGGGAUGACGCCU